RNAcentral lists this ribosomal RNA (292 nucleotides) under uncultured bacterium. RNAcentral's name for it is "partial 16S ribosomal RNA". It matches the Rfam family "Bacterial small subunit ribosomal RNA", at positions 505 to 796 of the family's 1533-position model. The record is from RNAcentral.
GUGUCAGCCGCCGCGGUAAUACGUAGGGGGCUAGCGUUGUCCGGAAUCAUUGGGCGUAAAGCGCGCGUAGGUGGCUCUGUAAGUCAGUUGUGAAAGUCAAAGGCUCAACCUUUGAAAGCCGAUGGAUACUGCAGAGCUAGAGUACGGAAGAGGCGAGUGGAAUUCCUGGUGUAGCGGUGGAAUGCGCAGAUAUCAGGAGGAACACCAAUAGCGAAGGCAGCUCGCUGGGACGUUACUGACACUGAGGCGCGAAAGCGUGGGGAGCGAACAGGAUUAGAUACCCUGGUAGUCC